ACGGCUCAGUAACACGUGGAUAACCUGCCCUUGGGUCCGGCAUAACCCCGGGAAACUGGGGAUAAUUCCGGAUAACGCACAUAUGCUGGAAUGCUUUAUGCGUAAAAUGGAUUCGUCUGCCCAAGGAUGGGUCUGCGGCCUAUCAGGUAGUAGUGGGUGUAAUGUACCUACUAGCCAACAACGGGUACGGGUUGUGAGAGCAAGAGCCCGGAGAUGGAUUCUGAGACAUGAAUCCAGGCCCUACGGGGCGCAGCAGGCGCGAAAACGUUACAAUGCGGGAAACCGUGAUAAGGGGACACCGAGUGCCAGCGUCAUACGCUGGCUGUCCGGGUGUGUAAAAUACACCUGUUAGCAAGGGCCGGGCAAGACCGGUGCCAGCCGCCGCGGUAACACCGGCGGCCCGAGUGGUGAUCGUGAUUAUUGGGUCUAAAGGGUCCGUAGCCGGUUCGGUCAGUCCUCCGGGAAAUCUGACAGCUUAACUGUUAGGCUUUCGGGGGAUACUGCCAGACUUGGAACCGGGAGAGGUAAGAGGUACUACAGGGGUAGGAGUGAAAUCUUGUAAUCCCUGUGGGACCACCUGUGGCGAAGGCGUCUUACCAGAACGGGUUCGACGGUGAGGGACGAAAGCUGGGGGCACGAACCGGAUUAGAUACCCGGGUAGUCCCAGCCGUAAACGAUGCUCGCUAGGUGUCAGGCAUGGCGCGACCGUGUCUGGUGCCGCAGGGAAGCCGUGAAGCGAGCCACCUGGGAAGUACGGCCGCAAGGCUGAAACUUAAAGGAAUUGGCGGGGGAGCAC
RNAcentral lists this ribosomal RNA (796 nucleotides) under uncultured archaeon. RNAcentral describes it as "bacterial SSU rRNA". It matches the Rfam family "Archaeal small subunit ribosomal RNA", at positions 85 to 879 of the family's 1478-position model. The record is from RNAcentral.